This 225-nucleotide unclassified non-coding RNA is filed under the name Hevea brasiliensis (rubber tree). The record is from RNAcentral. Lineage: Eukaryota; Viridiplantae; Streptophyta; Magnoliopsida; Malpighiales; Euphorbiaceae.
UUAAUUCCUCCAACUCCUGCUUCCCUGUGCUUCCAUAGGUUUGUUCUUGUUCCUUAAGGGCCUCUUGAACUCUCUGGAUUGCUGCUCUGGCAUUUUCAACUUCUGUACGAGCAAGUGUCCUUUCUUCUUCAACCACUUUCUUGGCGUCUUCAGAUGCCUGCUUCAACAAGGUUGCUAGCCUUCUGAGUUCCACUUUUUCAUGAAUCAGCUCACCCUCUCUUUGAG